Humulus lupulus (European hop) is the source of this 631-nucleotide long non-coding RNA. RefSeq lists it as uncharacterized. The record is from RefSeq and is a predicted model, not a curated record. NCBI's taxonomy places the organism in Eukaryota, Viridiplantae, Streptophyta, Magnoliopsida, Rosales, Cannabaceae. The transcript has 2 exons.
AAGAAGACAGUAAUUAUCGAGGUUCACCUUAAUCUGGGCUACGUCCUCGUUGAGCUCGCCUCAAGUAAGCUCAGAUCUGAGCUACACAAUCAAUUUGGUACAUAAAUUAUCAAGUAAUCCAUGCCAGAGUCUUGACAGGUGUGUAUGUGGAUUUGAAUAUCUUUGAGCAAGUUUCCAUCUUUUCUCUGUUUUCGAUGACUAUUUUAAACUGAUCAAAGAGACAAAGGCCAUAUGCAACUCAUAGGAAGGAGCACCAUCACACUGUACUACAAGAUAUCAUAAGCAAUCAACAACAAGUUCAAGCAAUCAGAACAAGAUAGCAAUUAUCGAGGUUCACCCCAAUCUAGGCUACGAACUCGUUGAGCUCGCCUCAGGGAAGCUCAGAUCUGCACUAGACAAUCAAUUUGGUACAUCAAUUAUCAAGAAAGCUCAGAUAGCUGAAUAGUACAAAGAUACAACGAGAGGGAAAAAGGAGCGGGAAACCAAGAAGUGAUUAACAGAAAACUAACCACACUAAUCAACUAACUAUAGCCGAACCUACAUUACAGUAAUAUUUUUUGUAUAAUUACAAAUACAAUUCUUCCAGAAUUCAUAAAUCGAAGAAAUAUGACAAGUGAGGUUUCAUGUCUCA